This 154-nucleotide unclassified non-coding RNA is filed under the name uncultured fungus. Its description in RNAcentral is "sequence contains ITS2". The record is from RNAcentral. Lineage: Eukaryota; Fungi.
GUACCUUCAAGCUUUGCUUGGUGUUGGGUGUUUGUCCCGCCUCUGUGCGCGGACUCGCCUUAAAGCAAUUGGCAGCCGGCGUAUAGGUUUCGGAGCGCAGCACAAAACGCGCUCUGUGUCCAUUACGGCGGCGUCCAUUAAGCCUUUUUUCACA